Molecule: ribosomal RNA, 492 nt
Filed under: uncultured bacterium
Lineage: Bacteria
Description: partial 16S ribosomal RNA
Rfam family: Bacterial small subunit ribosomal RNA
Source: RNAcentral
AGUGAACGCUGGCGGUAGGCCUAACACAUGCAAGUCGAACGGCAGCACAGUAAGAGCUUGCUCUUACGGGUGGCGAGUGGCGGACGGGUGAGGAAUACAUCGGAAUCUACUUUUUCGUGGGGGAUAACGUAGGGAAAUUUACGCUAAUACCGCAUACGACCUACGGGUGAAAGCAGGGGAUCUUCGGACCUUGCGCGAUUGAAUGAGCCGAUGUCGGAUUAGCUAGUUGGCGGGGUAAAGGCCCACCAAGGCGACGAUCCGUAGCUGGUCUGAGAGGAUGAUCAGCCACACUGGAACUGAGACACGGUCCAGACUCCUACGGGAGGCAGCAGUGGGGAAUAUUGGACAAUGGGCGCAAGCCUGAUCCAGCCAUACCGCGUGGGUGAAGAAGGCCUUCGGGUUGUAAAGCCCUUUUGUUGGGAAAGAAAAGCAGCGGGUUAAUACCCCGCUGUUCUGACGGUACCCAAAGAAUAAGCACCGGCUAACUUCGUG